UACGAAGGGUGCAAGCGUUAAUCGGAAUUACUGGGCGUAAAGCGUGCGUAGGCGGUCUUUUAAGUCCGAUGUGAAAGCCCUGGGCUCAACCUGGGAAUGGCACUGGAUACUGGAAGGCUAGAGUACGGUAGAGGGGGAUGGAAUUCCGCGUGUAGCAGUGAAAUGCGUAGAUAUGCGGAGGAACACCGAUGGCGAAGGCAAUCCCCUGGACCUGUACUGACGCUCAUGCACGAAAGCGUGGGGAGCAAACAGG
This 253-nucleotide ribosomal RNA is filed under the name uncultured bacterium. Its description in RNAcentral is "partial 16S ribosomal RNA". It matches the Rfam family "Bacterial small subunit ribosomal RNA", at positions 524 to 776 of the family's 1533-position model. The record is from RNAcentral.